This 4252-nucleotide unclassified non-coding RNA is filed under the name Hevea brasiliensis (rubber tree). Lineage: Eukaryota; Viridiplantae; Streptophyta; Magnoliopsida; Malpighiales; Euphorbiaceae. The record is from RNAcentral.
CUUCUACCUCUACCUCGCCAAAUGGAGACGUAAACCAAAACCAGGCACUACUUGUUCAAAUAUUCAAUCAAAUCUUUUGGAUCCCUCCAGAAUUGACAGAUCAUAAUUUUCUUCUCUGUACAUGAACUCAAAAUAUAAAAAGAAAUUUGGAAAUAUCAUGCAAUUAGAGUAAGUGAGACUGGUUUCUUGCUCUGCAUUAUUAUUUCCAGUUAUUGAAAAUAAUUAACUAUUGAUCAUGAGAGUGUCAUCAACAUCCGCGGACGACCGCGCUGCAACGCUGAGCGGUGGAGGCUACCGAGAUGCAGAGACUCUAUUCCGUGCGAAACCGAUUUCCCAAAUUCGGGAUGCGGAAACCACCACGGUAAAACAGAUCCAGGACAAGAAGGAGGAGCUCCGCCAAUUGGUUGGCAACCGCUACCGAGAUCUCAUUGAUUCUGCCGACUCUAUUGUUCUCAUGAAGUCGUCCUGCGAGUCCAUCUCUUCUAAUAUAGCUUCCAUUCAAACUAACAUUCGUUCCCUCUCAGCAUCUCCUGUAUCGGAAACCCCCAAAUUCACCAACCCUAACCCCGCUCGUCUCCGAAUCUACGGGAUCGCGUGUUGCGUCAAGUACUUGGUUGACACUCCCGAGAACAUCUGGGGAUGCCUCGACGAGUCCAUGUUUCUUGAAGCUGCCGGGAGAUACAUUCGUGGCAAGCACGUGCACUAUAAUCUUGUGCUGGCCAACAAUGCUAAUGCUAACUCCAGUGCUGAAUGGGAUCACACCAAAAUCUUGUCCAAUUUUCCUCUUUUGCAACAUCAGUGGCAGAUCGUUGAGGGCUUCAAAGCUCAAAUUUCACAGCGGAGUCGCGAGAGGCUGUUGGAUCCGGCUCUCGAAAUUGCGGCCUAUGCUGAUGCUUUGGCUGGGGUUGCUGUCAUUGAUGAAUUAGAUCCUAAGCAGGUACUUGGUUUGUUUCUUGAUACUAGAAAGUCUUGGAUUUUGCAGAAAUUAGCAACUUUUGGCGGUAAUGAUAAUCAUGCUGUCGCCAGUGAGGUUGUGGUUCUUGUGUUUUGUGAAGUUCUGAAGAUCAUUCAGGUUAGUGUAGGACAAGUAGGCGAGUUGUUUUUGCAAGUUUUGAAUGAUAUGCCUCUGUUUUACAAAGUUAUUUUGUGUUCCCCUCCUGCCUCUCAAUUAUUUGGUGGAAUUCCUUACCCAGAUGGGGAGGUGAGGUUGUGGAAACUUUUUAGGGAAAGAUUGGAAUCCGCAAUGGUUAUUCUUGAUAAACAGUACAUCGCAAGGACUUGUAUGACUUGGUUGAGAGACUCUGGUGGAGAGGUUGUGAGUAAUAUUAACGGCAAGUACUUGAUUGAUGCUAUUGCCACUGGUGGAGAGCUUUCAUUGGCUGAAAAGUUAAUAAGAGAGACAAUGGACAGUAAGCAUGUUUUGCAGGGGAGUUUGGACUGGCUCAAGAGUGUGUUUGGUUCUGAGAUUGAGCUGCCUUGGAGUAGGAUCCGAGAGCUGUUUCUAGAAGAUGACUCAGAUCUCUGGGAUGAAAUAUUCGAAGAUGCUUUUGUUCAGAGGAUGAAAGCCAUUAUCAACUCUGCAUUUGAGGAUUUGACAAAAAUAAUUAACGUUGAGAACUCCAUUUGCACAAUUGGAGAGGCUCCUAGCGAACAUAUUGACUACCAGGCUUACUUAAACAGACCUACCACAGGUGGUGGGGUUUGGUUUAUAGAAUCCAAUGGAAAUAAGUCUAGUCUAGUUUCAGGUUAUAAGGCAUCCCCUGAAGAAAAUGAUUUCCAGAGUUGUCUCAGUGCCUACUUUGGUCCUGAAGUUAGUCAAAUCAGAGAUGCAGUGGACAGCCGUUGUCAAAGUGUUCUGGAGGACCUACUCAAUUUCUUAGAAACUCCAAAGGCAGUACACAGGCUAAAAGAUUUGGGUCCAUUCCUACAAGAUAAAUGUUAUGAUAUCAUGUCAACCAUUUUGGCAGAGCUCAAGAGGGUCAUUGAUCAGUUAAAUGAUGCCAUGGAAAAUUCCAGAGAGGGAAGUCCAUCUGUUCCUCCUGCUAUAGUUGUUGAGAGAUCUCUUUUUGUUGGGAGACUUUUGUUUGCAUUUCAGAACCACACAAAACAUAUUCCUGUGAUACUUGGUUCUCCAAGGUUUUGGUCAAAAGAUACUGUGUCUGCAGUUUUUGACAAGUUACCAUCUGUAUUGAGGCAAUCUCAAGUUGCCACAGAUUCUCUGAUUACUGAGAGUCCUGGCAGGCAAACACCCACUGGCUCUAGACAACAAACUUCAUGUGCUACAGCUGCUUUGCUUGGAGCAAGUGAACAUGCUAGCCCUAAACUUGAAGAACUAGCCAGAACCACCAGGGAUCUUUCCAUCAGAGCUCAUAACCUGUGGAUACUCUGGUUAUCUGAUGAGCUUUCAGCCAUUCUUGGUCGUGAUCUUGGAAAGGAUGAUGGAUUGUCAGCGAUGACUCCCUUGAGGGGAUGGGAUGAGACAGUAGUCAAGCAAGAACAAUCUGAUGAAAACCAUUCUGAAAUGAAAAUAUCACUGCCAUCAAUGCCUUCUUUCUAUAUCAUUUCUUUUCUGUUUCGUGCAUGUGAAGAAAUUCAUAGGAUUGGGGGUCAUGUACUUGACAAAUCAAUUCUGCAAAAAUUUGCACUACGACUACUGGAAAAGCUUAUUGAAAUUUAUGAGGACUUCCUUUCUUCUAGAGAUUCCCAUCCAUCUCAGGUGUCAGAGAAAGGAGUUCUGCAAAUACUCUUAGACCUAAAAUUUGCUGCAGAUGUUCUUUCUGGCAGUGAAUCCAAUAUAAAUGAGGACUUAUCUAAAAGUCCUAUGAUGAAGGUUUCUUUCAGAAGGAAGCAGGGGCAAAGCCAAACAAAGUCGGUCUUUAGAGAGCGUAUUGAGGAGUUAAUUAACCGUUUUUCACAAAAAUUGGAUCCAAUAGACUGGCUAACGUAUGAGCCAUAUCUCUGGGAGAAUGAGAGACAGUCAUACCUACGACAUGCAGUCCUCUUUGGAUUCUUUGUGCAACUGAAUCGGAUGUACACAGAUACCGUGCAGAAACUUCCUUCUAAUCCAGAGUCAAAUAUAAUGAGAUGCUCAAUUGUUCCUCGUUUCAAAUACCUUCCAACCAGUGCACCAGCAUUGUCUUCAAGGGGAACACCAAAGGCAUCCAUUCCUGCAGCUUCAGAUGAUAUCUCCUUAAGAAGUUCCUGGAAAGCCUAUACCAAUGGGGAGCUUUCACAAAAGAUUGACUUGGAUGACAACUCAAGUUUUGGUGUAGCAGCACCAAUUUUGAAGUCCUUUAUGCAAGUUGGCAGCAGGUUUGGGGAGAGCACCCUAAAGUUGGGAUCCAUAUUAACUGAUGGGCAAGUAGGGAUAUUCAAAGACCGAUCAGCAGCUGCCAUGUCAACGUUUGGUGAUAUUUUACCUGCCCAAGCUGCGGGUCUUCUUUCAUCCUUUACAGCUACCAGAUCAGACUCUUGAUUUCCACUGAAUUCUUCUGUCCUCUUAUUUCCCCCAGCUAGUCAUUCCAGUGAGUUAAAUUUCUGUUCUGUGGUUCCUAACUCCAUCAAGAGCUCUAUGAUAUUACCCAAGUGGAAAGGUUAUGCAUAUGGGGGGACAUAGGCAAUGCAAAGAUUCGGAGGUGAAGUGAGCAUGGGGAUUGGAACUGUUAGAGAAAUGGUUAUGUCUCAAGAAAAUUGGAAAUUAGGGUUUAUCAAAUGGAGCAAGUGCGAGUUGUAAGGAGCAAUAAUUAUAUUCCAUAGAAAGCAUAAAAUAGUAUAGUAUGUGGAGUAUGUGAGGUUUGUAUCUCGAGUUCUCUUGUAAAUAGAAAUUAUUGUCUACCAAUAUAACAAAAGAUGGGGAAGGUAUUUAGAGUGAAGUUUUAUAUAGUCUGAGGUUAUGAUGCUGGAUGUCAAUAUUUAGAAGUCUUGGUUCUCGAGGUGAAGAAGAAAGCUCUCCAUACCUAUCUCCAUAAUAUCGAGAGCAAGAUUGAAUCGGAGUAAAAAAUUAAUCGAGUGCGUGAAGGGACGGGGGGGUGUCGAGCUUGGAAGGAAUUGGCAUUCUACAAAGAAACUAGGCUUCUCCAUUUUAUUUUAAAAAUUUUGAUUUUUUUUUUAUUUUGAAAAAAUAAAAAGCAAUAUCAUAUGGUAUUAAUCAAUGUAAACUUUGAAUUGGCAUGAAUGAUAAUGUCAUCGUUGAAUAGAUAUCAAUUCGAUCGAAAUUUUACCAAGUAAAUAGAAUUGAAUUCUCAGGAAAAAA